Molecule: long non-coding RNA, 1690 nt
Organism: Leptinotarsa decemlineata (Colorado potato beetle)
Lineage: Eukaryota; Metazoa; Arthropoda; Insecta; Coleoptera; Chrysomelidae
Source: RefSeq, a predicted model, not a curated record
UUGUGAUGUCUAUGAGUCUAUGAUCGAUACUGUCAAUCGGCAAAAUAAAAGAUACAUGAAAGUAGAAAAUCCAUAAAAAUAUUUAUAAAAAACAUUCUAAAUGUGGAAUAACGAAUAUAAUGAUGAAUCAGUUUGGAACAAGAACUACAGAAUACCAAAGAGAAAAACAGAGGAAAUGUAUAACCAGGACUAUAACACAGAAAAGCCAGUUUUGAAUAGAUCAUACUUUAAUUAUUGUAAUCAAUACAGUCAGUCUCAAUGGCACCAGAGAAUGCAGUAUUCACAAAACCCUGUGGAACCCAUCACCCAAAAUAUUUUCAAUACAUUAUCCAACAUCAAAGAAAAACCGAAAAAUCACCAGAAGAAUAUAUAUUUCAACCACAGCCUACGUGAUGGAGAGUUCGUCCUACUUCUGUCCUAGAAUGAGAAUUCAAACAACAUCAUAAUUAAUAAAAGUGAAGAAUAUUUCUGUGUUGAAAGUGAUAUUUUUGAAUAACCGAUUUAGAAUCACAUCAAUUUCAACAUGUUGUGCCCUCAAGAACCCAGCUGACGUGCUUGCGAGUUCAUCUGGCUAUCAGCCUGGAGUGAGAGUCCAUACAACACGAUAAUUUAUUAUCGUAAAUGUUAUUUUUCUGAUUUUUUCGUAUGAGAAAAUUCUCUAUUACUUGAAACAUGUACAUUCUCCACAAAAAUUGGAGUGUUUUGUGUCAGAUUUAGUCAAAGCUAUGUAUUUCCCACUCCCACUCGUGAAAUCCAUUAUUAUUUCAGUUCAGAAGAAAUAUUUCAGACUUAGCAUAAGUAUAAAUCCAGUACAAUACAUUACCCAUAUUGAUACAUUUGGUACUGUGUCAUAUUCUAUAAUUGUUCACUAAAUUACAUGAUAAUUGAAAGACGAAAAGCCAAUCCAAUGAAUACUUAGAGUUAUCCAGUCGGAUGAUCUUGUUCAGUAGUAGGUAUUUUGAGUAAGCCAUUGUUUUCAAUACCAACACGCGCCUCAAUUGAUGAAAGUUGAAACAUUUUCUGUUUGACGGACUCAAAAUAUUUUUGUUAAUUUAUCCAUCGUCUGUCUUGAAAGAGUUGGACAAAUUAUCUAUUAAUUGAAACAUAAAAAUUCUACACUAAAAUUGGAAUAUUGAGAUAAAUUCUGUCAAAAGUAUGCAUUUCACCCCUUCCUCUCAUAAAAUCUAGUAUUUUGGUUCAGAAGAAAUAUCCCUGUCAGCGCAAAAAUAUAAAUUGAGUACAUUACACAGCAUGCAACUACAAGAAGACCAAAUAUAAUUUUUGAUGUAUAGGUUAAAAAUUUCUAAGAAUAGUACAUAAUCGGCAAUAUGAUGAAUAUUUAGAGUAGGCUUGUAGGAAUGAGAUCAUACUCGGUAGCAGAUAAUUUACACAACCCUCAUAAGUGCCUCCACUGAUGUGAGUUUAUAUGUCUUCCGUCUGAUGAACUCAGUAUGUUUUUUUACUUUUGUCCUGAAAUGGUUGAUAUAUGUUGAGAGUUACAAAUUUAACUAUUCCAUAUCAAAAUUAACUAGGAAACAGGUUUAGAAACUUACUAGAUUUAAUUCAACCUCAAAGUGGUUUUUGUUUUCGUUUUUUGUAAAAAAGACAUCACUCUUGUCGAAACUGUAGUUUUCACAAUUAUUUUUCAUUAGUUUUUUUCCAACCAAGUAAUUAUAUUCUCUCAAUUCUA